GUCCCCAUCGUCUAGCCCGGCCUAGGACACCGCCCUUUCACGGCGAUAACGCGGGUUCGAAUCCCGCUGGGGACGCCA
This 78-nucleotide transfer RNA is filed under the name Candidatus Solibacter usitatus. RNAcentral describes it as "tRNA-Glu". It matches the Rfam family "tRNA". Rfam says of the family: Transfer RNA (tRNA) molecules are approximately 80 nucleotides in length. The record is from RNAcentral. RNAcentral also lists the same sequence under 9 other names. Lineage: Bacteria; Pseudomonadati; Acidobacteriota; Terriglobia; Bryobacterales; Solibacteraceae.